UACCCGGAGGAAAAGAAAGAAAUUCGAUUCCGUAAGUAGCGGCGAGCGAACGCGGAACAGCCCAAACCAGUGAAGUUUUCUUCGCUGGGGUUGCGGACAUAUCACAAACAAGAGGUCAUCGUAAACGAAGAGAGUUGGAAAGCUCCGCUAUAAAGUGUAAUAGCCACGUAGUUGAAACGAGAAGACUUUAGAUGUGAUCCAGAGUACCACGGGACA
Molecule: ribosomal RNA, 216 nt
Filed under: Paraclostridium sp. AKS46
Lineage: Bacteria; Bacillati; Bacillota; Clostridia; Peptostreptococcales; Peptostreptococcaceae
Description: partial 23S ribosomal RNA
Rfam family: Bacterial large subunit ribosomal RNA
Source: RNAcentral